AAAAAAAAAAAAUUAUUUUGAAUAAUUUAUGAAAAUAAAAUAAAAAUAUCUUAUGAACAAUGUCUAUAUUGCUUUCAUGCAUUUUUCUAAAUAAAUAAUCUUACAAAACUCAUACAUUUAAAAAAAACUAUACUCAAAUCUAAAAAUAAAUCUAUAUAAGAUACAAGAUAAAUUUAAACUAUAAUAAUUUUAAUAUGUUACACUUAAACUUAACAAAAGCUAACUCGACUUAAGUUAUUUUCAACAUUACAUGUG
Molecule: long non-coding RNA, 255 nt
Filed under: Lathyrus oleraceus (garden pea)
Lineage: Eukaryota; Viridiplantae; Streptophyta; Magnoliopsida; Fabales; Fabaceae
Description: Pisum sativum (pea) long non-coding RNA (PSAT_LNC002730)
Source: RNAcentral